This 30-nucleotide non-coding RNA is filed under the name Homo sapiens (human). The record is from RNAcentral. Lineage: Eukaryota; Metazoa; Chordata; Mammalia; Primates; Hominidae.
AGGGUGACAUUUGCAAAGAAAAGACUGUUC